Molecule: long non-coding RNA, 556 nt
Organism: Oncorhynchus kisutch (coho salmon)
Lineage: Eukaryota; Metazoa; Chordata; Actinopteri; Salmoniformes; Salmonidae
Exons: 3
Source: RefSeq, a predicted model, not a curated record
GUCCUCUCUUCAUGACAGUAGACUUGUUUCGCUCAGUGGAGCCCCAGUUAGAGGCAGAUAUGAUACCUGCAGUGGUACUGAUGACCCUGUUGUGGAGCACAGAUCUCCAGGCUCAAAGCGUCAGUCCACCAGCUGAACUCUCAGUCAGACUGGUGAAUGGGACCACUUCCUGUUCUGGGACAGUGGAAGUCUUCUACAGAGGAGAGUGGUCAGGUCUAUGUCCUAAUUGGUGGAGCAUAAUGAGAGAGGUUAAGGUUGUGUGUAGAGAGCUGGAUUGUGGGAAUCCUGUAUCUGAAUCUAGAGGACCUCUGAUUGAAGAUGGAAGAGGAGGAGUCAGACUAUAUGGUUGUAGUGGAGAUGAGUCUUCUAUUAGACAGUGUGGCAUCACAGGGGGACGUGGUGUCUGUAAUGGUGGAUAUUAUCGUCAUGUGAUCUGUUCAGGUAAGAGACUGGUCAUAUUGAGAGAUUUAUUUAUACAUUAUACAAUAUUACCAUGUAUCAUGUUUUAUGUGUUUUUAUUUCAUUUAAAUAGAGGGAGAGAUGUCAGAUGUAUUUA